ACACAGAGGGUACAUCCAAGUGGGACCUGGCUGUGCAUGGAUAGGAGACCUCUGGUUGAGCAAAGCCAGACCCAGUUCUGGGCUCAGACCCUAUGCAGCAGAACACACUGCUACACUGGUGUCACAUCCCAUCCCCAGGAGAGCUGGAAGAGGUUUCUGCACAGGACCUGUUUUUGGCUUUCGCCCAGCUGCAUUGCUCUGAAGACUGAUGAGUGCACUCUGGAAGCUAAUUAGAAGUUUCUUGCAUAGUUUGACUAAAAUUGGUCAAACUGUUAUGGAGAUCCAGGUCAGAGACAUUACUCAGAUUUGGAUUUGCUCCUUAAAUUGUAGUUUUUGGAGUACGUUCCUCCAUCUGAACUAGAAAAAUCUUUCCACUGGGCAGUCUGGGCCAAAGCAGGUUUGUACCUGGGGCAUUUGACAUCACCACUGUUCAAAAAGUUGGAAAGACAGCAACGAAAUUAUUCCUAAUCUUGUCUCUAGGCUGCUUCAGAAUGUCUGUGUUGUUUUAAAAGGUAGAUUUGCUACUGGACAGAGAGUGAGGGCUACAACGUGAGGCUGAAGGGAUGGGUGCAGUUAAAAUCAACUAAAAGUCGUUGUACAGAAGUUUUGACUUUUGCUCUCAAUGAAAACUGGGAGUUUUGGGGCUUGCAGAGCAGAAAAUCUGCUUUCUGUGUUGCUUUAAAGCCUUCUCCUCAAGUCCAUCCGUGGCUGUGGUGUAAAUGGUGUAGGUCAUCCUUGGAGCCUUCGCUCCUUUUCUGCAGCAGCAGUGUGUAGAAUGGCAGCUCAUUGGCUCAGGGCUGCUGCAUACUGCGAGUGUUUGUGUUGCCUUCUCCUUAGAGAUGUUUGAGUGACCUUGAAACACGAAACCCAUCUUGAUAACUGCAUCACAGCUUUUGGUGAUCCGAGGUCACACUUUGGACAGGACAUGAUGGACAUCCUGCAACCCACAGCCUGCAAUUCUGUUUGUCCCAAGCUGUUGGUAUCUCUGCUAAAAAAAAAAAAAAGGAGAAAUGUUGCAGACUUACAUGACAAGCCAAAUCCUGGGAUUUAUCACUGCCUCCUGAGGGAUUAGAGUAGCGGGAAGGAGCUGAGCCUGUGUUUUCUUUCUGAUGGGUGAUUGCUGUGGAUGUUGCCUCUUCUUAGCCUUCCUGACAAGAGCUUCGGAUUUGCUUCUUGCAUCUAAGCUGUGUGAUGAAUGGUUGGGGUGAUUCCAUGGACCUUUGCAGCAGCUUAA
This is a long non-coding RNA of Tympanuchus pallidicinctus (lesser prairie-chicken), 1234 nucleotides long. RefSeq lists it as uncharacterized. Lineage: Eukaryota; Metazoa; Chordata; Aves; Galliformes; Phasianidae. The transcript has 3 exons. The record is from RefSeq and is a predicted model, not a curated record.